RNAcentral lists this transfer RNA (69 nucleotides) under Cornufer vitiensis (Fiji tree frog). RNAcentral describes it as "Platymantis vitiensis (Fiji tree frog) tRNA-Lys". The record is from RNAcentral. Lineage: Eukaryota; Metazoa; Chordata; Amphibia; Anura; Ceratobatrachidae.
CGUUAAGAAGCUAUGGACUAGCGAUAGCCUUUUAAGCUAUAGACAGGUGACCUCAAACCACCCUUAAUG